This 451-nucleotide ribosomal RNA is filed under the name uncultured bacterium. RNAcentral's name for it is "partial 16S ribosomal RNA". It matches the Rfam family "Bacterial small subunit ribosomal RNA", at positions 354 to 796 of the family's 1533-position model. The record is from RNAcentral.
GUGGGGAAUAUUGGACAAUGGGGGGAACCCUGAUCCAGCCAUGCCGCGUGUGUGAAGAAGGCCUUUUGGUUGUAAAGCACUUUAAGCGAGGAGGAGGCUACCGAGAUUAAUACUCUUGGAUAGUGGACGUUACUCGCAGAAUAAGCACCGGCUAACUCUGUGCCAGCAGCCGCGGUAAUACAGAGGGUGCAAGCGUUAAUCGGAUUUACUGGGCGUACAGCGCGCGUAGGUGGCCAAUUAAGUCAAAUGUGAAAUCCCCGAGCUUAACUUGGGAAUUGCAUUCGAUACUGGUUGGCUAGAGUAUGGGAGAGGAUGGUAGAAUUCCAGGUGUAGCGGUGAAAUGCGUAGAGAUCUGGAGGAAUACCGAUGGCGAAGGCAGCCAUCUGGCCUAAUACUGACACUGAGGUGCGAAAGCAUGGGGAGCAAACAGGAUUAGAAACCCUAGUAGUCC